Molecule: non-coding RNA, 4763 nt
Organism: Lepisosteus oculatus (spotted gar)
Lineage: Eukaryota; Metazoa; Chordata; Actinopteri; Semionotiformes; Lepisosteidae
Source: RefSeq, a predicted model, not a curated record
AUCAGUUUGGCUUCAUCAGAUAGCACCUAUUUCCCUGUACACUGGGGAAAUAGGCUUACUCUUAAUGACUUACAUUAGCUCAUUAUUGACUUAAUUAGAUCAAUGUAACAGCUUCUCCCAGCUAUUUGGUGCUUGUGCUUCAGACUGGGCUAGACAACCUGCAGACAAACAAGCCCUCCAGGACCAGGACUGAACACUAGACACCUUCAUGUCACUCUGGAAUUUUAAUUUUUGCAAAAUAAUUGAACUGAAAGCAGAACUGAAAACUGGUGUUUACAGUUUUUUUGUCAUAUGUAUUUUCACCCCAUAAAAUUGAAAUUAUUAUUUUUUUGUUUGUGAGCUAAGCUUUAGGUAACAUUUGGAGAAAUGGUAUAGACCUAACCGCAAGAAGAUACGGGACUUUACUUAGAACUAACAGUAGUGAAUACGAGUCUAAAACUGGAAAAUGGUAUAGAACUAAAAAUCAGUAGAUGCAGUUCUAUAACGAGUGAUAACACUCUCAAAAAGCACCCCUGUCAGAAUGUUUUUGACUGUUGUGGAGUGUUAUUUAGUGACACCCAAUAAAGGAAAAUUGAUGCCUCAUUCUACUGUAAGGCUUAGCAAGUGUUAUUUUCACACCUCAAAUUUUGAUUACACCUUUUCUGUGUCUCAGUCCCUGUUAUCAGUACAGCCUGGCUUUAUAACCAAGCGCUCGUCUGCUUUUGUUGCCCUUGCAAAGCUUGCUUGUUAUAGCAAGGCAGCGUUUGACCUCUAAUCUUGGCGCAUGACCUUGAGUUAUAGAAGUGCAGCUGGUCCAUCUGUUUCACAUUUCAGCUCCUGACAGGUGGCCACCACCAGCCGACUGAAUUCUCACCCUCCCUCUGUCUUCGCAAAAGGAGCUUUUUUGUUUUAAGGCACCUUCUUCUUUUAUAUUUAUUCCAUUUUAUUUUACCUGACGUCACCUUUAACAGUAGCAUCUGACAUUCAGACUUCAUCUUGGUGUCUUGGUGACAGAAGCCUGUUAAUCAAUUUUUCCAAUGUACACUGUCUCAGAGGGUUGUAGAAUGUCUUGUGUUAUUAUUAAUAAUAAUAUACAGUAGCCCUUUGGCUAGUGCUUCUUUGCUUUUCAAAAGCCUUAAAAGUGGUUUAAUAAGGAACAUCAAAUAAAAAAUUUAAUUAAAACGUCACUGGUGGCAUUCUGCAUAAGAGGGGUGAUACUACUGUUGCUAAUGAAGGUAGGAAUGCAGCAAUGUUCCUGUUCAAUACCCCGAAAGAGCCUUAGCUGUCAUCGCUCACGUGAUGUUGUUUUUGUGAGGUGGGUGCCUGUAUGACCAGCUGUUCAUGUUUUUGUACUUCCUGCUGAUGGAGCUCAUCAGAGAGGAAGCACUGGACCACUGGACCACACAGCUGCUCAGCAGGAAGGGCAGGAGCGUCAGGCCAUUCUUUACACCUUUGCUGAAAGAGAAGAUUGAGUGAAACAGCUCUUCUUCCUCCGCACAGAAGACUCUUUCAUAACAGAGAACGUGUUUCUGAUCCAGGAGGGGACAGCAGUCUCAAGACCUCACAAGAAGCACAGCCUCACUAGUCUGUCAUCAGAAAUAUGCACAGAGAGCACAGGACAAACAGAGAAGGCCACAGCUAGCGGGCUAUGGGAGAGACCAGAGCUCAACCAGACCAAGAAGGAAGACCAACUUAAACCACAGAGUUCGGUGCUCAGUUUCCUCAUGCUCUUCAGAAGAGGGAGUCUCUGAGGGUGACAUCAUCACAGCCUCAGAAAGGCAUUAAAGUUAAAGACGGUUUUCAUGACUGAAACAAGGAAUGUCAGGUGGACCUCACACAGAGCAUGGCCAAAACCUCAGACAACUUCUGACUGUGCAGAGAGGCUGGCAAGCACUUUGGGGAAAUGAGGAAUUUUUCUAAGCUUCCUCGUCAAAUUACCCGCAAGCUGAUGAGUACAUUUUUGUUCUUCCACUACCUUCUAUUGCGGACAUUUACGAAAAACUGCCUUCUUCAAGAAAAGAGCUGAAUCCCUUUUGAAGAAAAAAGAUUUUGCCCAUGAUUUUUUAAAAAAUGAUGCUUGCUUAUCAGGUUUGAAUGGGGCUGCUGACGUGCAUUUCGAAAGUUGAUUAAUGCCAGCUGGAAGCCACCCAUAAGACCACAGAAGCAUGGGCAGGAAAUUGGACACCCUGCAUAAUGGCAGUCUGAGGUCCCCAAGGCCUAAUUUGUCAGCCUGCAUGGCGAUCUCUUUCGGAAACGUGAGAUUAUAGGUCUAAAUAAAAAUAAAAACAAGUCACAGUCUAACAUGAUAACCCAAACGAUAACAUGCCAGCUAAUUAUUGGGAGUGAAGUUCCAGACAGCUAAAAAACAAACAAAGAAGGCCAUUCAUUCGAUCCGACCCAGAAGCAGAAGGUUUUCUUCUUUCUUUUUUAAAGACAAAGGUGACUCAAUCUAAAGAGGAAAUAUCGACAACGACAUAUGUAUGAAUGUACAUAGAAAGAAAAGCAAACUGAAAAAAAUGAGUUAUGAAAUGGGGACCUGUUUUCCAAAGGAUUCACACUGUGGAUUCCUGCUCUGCUAACAAAGCCCAUAUUGACUCUACAGUGCUCUGCAGUGUACCUUACAGUGAAAGAAAGGUGGCUUCAGGACAUUACUUUAAACGCUGACGUCGAAAGUGUUGGAUCGAGAGCAAUUAGGUCUUUUUUGUUUGAGACCUCACAGACAGAAGGGCUGGCGGAUGUUGUCUAAAGAGUCACCCACCAAGAUCAGAGAGUCUUCGCACGGACCCUUGUUUAUUCAACUGUAGCUUGUCUUCCUGGGUUCAACCAGACCCUCCUCAGCAUUAUGGGGCAGCCAGGAGGUGGGGAUACCACCACGAACAGCACAGCUGGCUGGCAGGUAGCAAACUCCCUGAGGGCAGCCAGAGUCCACAAAGAGCCAGACAAACACAAUGCUGUAGGGCCUGCCAGGAAAACAGUUUAACGGGUCGCUCAUUAUUCAAAAACAAACACAUCACUUCUUUGUCUCAGUGGCCAAGCAAAAGAGACUUGACAUUAUUUAGAUAACCAGCAGGAUGAGUGAUCAAGUCUUGAUUAAGUCACAUAGGUACAUCUAAAACCUAGGAGAUUUAAUCUAGAAGAAUGUGAUCUCCUCCGAUUCUUGAAAUAAUUGCACAUUCGUAGGAGGGCCAUUGGCAAAAACAUCAUGCAAUAGUUUAUGAAAGACAAAUAGUAAAUUAAACCAUAUUGAGUAAUAGUAUUAUAUGAUAAAACAACACGACUAUUGUUAAACUGUAACUCCGGUUUUCCAAUCGUCUUCUGUCGUGUGAGGACAGAAUGUUGCUUCCAAAUUCAGGUCCUGUCUUGUGACCAUUCUCCCUUGGUUCAUUAUUAUGCCAAUCUGGCCUGACCACAAACAGUCUGGACUGAAGCCACUCAAGAGAGUUAUGGGAACUAUUAACCAACAGAAGCUUGCAGAGAGCCAAGCAAAGUGUAAAACACUCACAAGUCUGAUGCACACGUUUACCUGGCACAAAAGCACUGUCUGUGCCACCAAAAUUACACAUUUAUUACACAUUUAGUGGUGGCAGCAACUCUUCCCAUUUCUUUGUACAGUUCAAACUUUUCAAAACAUCUGUUCCAUUCCUCACAAGUGCUAGGUGCUUCUUUUUCUCUUGCAUUUUUAUUUUGCAUGCCUUCUCAUAAUCAGAUUAUGCUUUGCAUUACAUGUAUGGCUAUUGUUCUACACAAUAAAUCAUUUUGAAGAUUUCAAAAACACAAAAGGCGGUAAAAAAAUAUGUAUUCAUUAGGAAAUAUUCUCGACAAAAUUGGCUCAACAGAUGAAAUGAAGUCAAACUAUAAGAACUCUAAAUACAUAUACCAUGCAUACUUUUAGUACAACAUGGGUUGUGAAGCUUCUAGACAAAGAAUGUUUUGUUGAAUUUUUAAUACCUGUAAUGAUACAUUGCUUAAACUUUUUUCAUUAUCUAUUGUUUUAUGUAUGUAAUUUAGGCUACUUAGUGUAUUUACUAAAAAUUGAACACAUUUAUUGUUAAUCUUAGCUAAAGCCUAGGAAAACCUUCACCACCUGUUAUCCUCCGAUGAGUCAGUCUCUGCCAGUCCAGUCCCUAAUGCUCAUAGUAGACACAUCUGCUCAGCGUUAUAAAGUUAGUAACCGAUUUAUAAAUGUGUGCCUUAGAGUUCUCUGGCUGUGGUGCUGAACAGAAGGUUUUGCUCGGUGACUGUCGGCUACACUCUUCAUAGCUUUUCUUCUUCAGUUCUCAGUGCCAUACUGUCUCUUAUAUGCUUUCCAGAUGCAAUAGAGAAGUAUUAGCCUCAAAAUUACUACAAUUUGCUUAGGUCUUUCCUCUUUGGUGACUCUGAACUAAAGACCAUAAGACCUAAAGAAUGAACUAAAGUGUGGAAUAGCUUGUUUCCUCUUGGGGACAUCCUUUUUCGAGCUCUGCUGGCUUGGAGGAUUGUUCUCGGCUCACAUAAGAAAAGGGAAUAGGCAAUAGGGAGUGUCCGGUGGGUCUUAUGAUUCACAGUAGGCAGGAUCAUGUCCCAAUAAAAAAGAGAACAUUCACAGAUUCUCUUGUUCAGAUUUUGCACUCUGACCUAGAAGGGUGAAACUACCAAGAGAGGUUUAUUUGACUGCCUGUGCCACUCAUCUCCGUCCUAUUCUGAUAGAGCUAUAUUUUUUAGUUAAAAAAAGAGAAUGGCCUUCAGUUAACAAAGUAAGCUGUUAUCGUUGUACUGUAGGUCAUUUGCGAAACAUUUAAAAUACC